This 442-nucleotide ribosomal RNA is filed under the name uncultured bacterium. Its description in RNAcentral is "partial 16S ribosomal RNA". It matches the Rfam family "Bacterial small subunit ribosomal RNA", at positions 338 to 795 of the family's 1533-position model. The record is from RNAcentral.
CCUACGGGUGGCAGCAGUGAGGAAUAUUGGUCAAUGGGCGAAAGCCUGAUGGAGCAACGCCGCGUGCAGGAUGAAGGACUUCGGGUUGGAAACUGCUUUUAUAAGCGAGAAAUAUGAUGGUAACUUAUGAAUAAGGAUCGGCUAACUACGUGACAGCAGCCGCGGUCAUACGUAGGAUCCGAGCAUUAUCCGGAGUGACUGGGUGUAAAGAGUUGCGUAGGUGGCAUAAUAAGUAGCUAGUGAAAUCUGGUGGCUCAACCAUUCAGACUAUUAGCUAAACUGUUAAGCUCGAGACCGUUAGGGGUAACUGGAAUUUCUAGUGUAGGAGUGAAAUCCGUAGAUAUUAGAAGGAACACCAAUAGCGUAGGCAGGUUGCUGGGACGGUUCUGACACUAAGGCACGAAAGCGUAGGGAGCAAACGGGAUUAGAUACCCUGGUAGUC